AGCCGGAAACAGAGGGACCAAAGCAGAAAACUGACAGCGCCGGAGAGGAGAGGAGAGGCAUGGCGCGCGGACCGCCCGCAGCCGCCGCCGCCGCCCAUGGGCCGCGCCUAGCCGGCGUCGGCCGCGCGCUCCUCCUCGUCGCGGCCACUGCAACCUUCCUCCCAGCAGCCGAGUCAUCCUGCCCGCGAGACAACUCGCUGGUGAGGGACAUAAGCCGGAUGCACCAAAGCAACUAUGGGAGGGAAGGAUUCUCGCAUAUAACGGUUGCUGGCGCGCUCGCUCACGGGAUGAAGGAGGUGGAAGUGUGGCUUCAGACAUUUGGUCCGGGCAAAAGGACCCCCAUCCACAGGCACUCCUGUGAGGAGAUUUUCGUUGUCCUUAAAGGGAAAGGCACGCUCUUGCUGGGGUCAAGCUCGCUCAAGCACCCAGGGGAGCCACAGGAGAUUCCUGUCUUCCAGAAUAGCACAUUUACGAUCCCUGUAAAUGAUCCUCACCAGAUUUGGAAUUCUGAUGAGCAUGAAGAUUUGCAAGUUCUUGUGAUCAUAUCACGCCCGCCUAUUAAGAUAGUUCAGAGUAACUUGUGUCUGGUACUCUAGUUCGAUACACAUGUGUCAGGACUGCUGUUGCGCAGGGAGUAGGAGUGGGAGGUCGGAGGCCGCGGGCUUGGCUCCCGACGGCGGCGAGGGCGCGGCGCCGUCCCGCAGAGGAGCGUGUGCGUGAGGAGGGAACGGUUGAGCAAGAGGACUAGACGCCCUGAGAUCCAAAUGAUCUCCAAGCAUAACUGCAUUAGUCUCAGAUUCAUCUAUGAUGAUUGGAGUGUGCCUCACACAGCCGCGAAGCUGAAGUUCCCCUACUACUGGGAUGAAGACUGCUUACCGGCGCCUAAAGAUGAACUCUAGUUUAAGUGUUUGCUACAGUAUAUCAGUUUUGUCCACAACCCUGCUGGAUUAUGAUUGACGUCCACUAGUUGUAAAACAUUAAUUAGUGUGCUGUCAUGUACAGUUCUGUGUUGUGACUCCGGAAUAUAUGCAUUGUGGCCAUGGUUUAUGAACUUAACCGCUUCUGGAGGAAAGCUAAUGUACAUUGUUUCCAGAAUUGCAAGCAGUACUGUUCUUUUCAUAA
RNA transcript from Panicum virgatum (switchgrass), 1122 nucleotides. It is a transcript of the gene named auxin-binding protein 4-like, with no coding region annotated. NCBI's taxonomy places the organism in Eukaryota, Viridiplantae, Streptophyta, Magnoliopsida, Poales, Poaceae. The record is from RefSeq and is a predicted model, not a curated record. The transcript has 6 exons.